UGUGGUUAUAAUAGCAGAGAAGAUACACCUGUUCCCAUUCCGAACACAGAAGUUAAGUUCUCUAGCGCUGAUGGUACUUGGUGGGAAAGUGCCUGGGAGAGUAGGACAUAGCCACGU
This 117-nucleotide ribosomal RNA is filed under the name Clostridioides difficile. Lineage: Bacteria; Bacillati; Bacillota; Clostridia; Peptostreptococcales; Peptostreptococcaceae. The record is from RNAcentral.